Molecule: ribosomal RNA, 468 nt
Filed under: uncultured bacterium
Lineage: Bacteria
Description: partial 16S ribosomal RNA
Rfam family: Bacterial small subunit ribosomal RNA
Source: RNAcentral
GACGAACGCUGGCGGCGUGCUUAACACAUGCAAGUCGAACGGAAAGGCCCUGCUUUUGUGGGGUGCUCGAGUGGCGCACGGGUGAGUAACACGUGAGUAUCCUGCCCUUGUCUUUGGGAUAACUUCAGGAAACUGGGGCUAAUACCGGAUAGGAGCUCCUGCUGCAUGGUGGGCGUUGGAAAGUUUCGGCGGUGGGGGAUGGACUCGCGGCUUAUCAGCUUGUUGGUGGGGUAGUGGCUUACCAAGGCUUUGACGGGUAGCCGGCAUGAGAGGGUGACCGGCGACAUUGGGACUAAGAUACGGCCCAGACUGCUACGGGAGGCAGUGGUCGGGAGUAUUGCGGAAUGGGCGGAAGCGUGAUGCGGAGACGUCGCGUGCGGGAUGCUGGGUUACGGGUUGUAAACCGCUGUGGCCGGAGACGAAGCGUGAGUGACGGUACUGAGUAAAGAAGCAACGGCUAACUACGUG